RNAcentral lists this transfer RNA (67 nucleotides) under Anolis lineatus. RNAcentral's name for it is "tRNA-Ala". It matches the Rfam family "tRNA". Rfam says of the family: Transfer RNA (tRNA) molecules are approximately 80 nucleotides in length. Lineage: Eukaryota; Metazoa; Chordata; Lepidosauria; Squamata; Anolidae. The record is from RNAcentral.
AAGGCUUUAGCUUAAUAAAAGUGUUUGAGUUGCAAUCAGAAGAUAUGAAGUAGUUUUCAUAAGUCUU